Molecule: ribosomal RNA, 528 nt
Filed under: uncultured bacterium
Lineage: Bacteria
Description: bacterial SSU rRNA
Rfam family: Bacterial small subunit ribosomal RNA
Source: RNAcentral
UUGACAUCCAGCGAACUUUCCAGAGAUGGAUUGGUGCCUUCGGGAACGCUGAGACAGUGCUGCAUGGCUGUCGUCAGCUCGUGUUGUGAAAUGUUGGGUUAAGUCCCGCAACGAGCGCAACCCUUUAUCCUUUGUUGCCAGCGAUUCGGUCGGGAACUCAAAGGAGACUGCCGGUGAUAAACCGGAGGAAGGUGGGGAUGACGUCAAGUCAUCAUGGCCCUUACGAGUAGGGCUACACACGUGCUACAAUGGCGCAUACAAAGAGAAGCGACCUCGCGAGAGCAAGCGGACCUCAUAAAGUGCGUCGUAGUCCGGAUCGGAGUCUGCAACUCGACUCCGUGAAGUCGGAAUCGCUAGUAAUCGUGGAUCAGAAUGCCACGGUGAAUACGUUCCCGGGCCUUGUACACACCGCCCGUCACACCAUGGGAGUGGGUUGCAAAAGAAGUAGGUAGCUUAACCUUCGGGAGGGCGCUUACCACUUUGUGAUUCAUGACUGGGGUGAAGUCGUAACAAGGUAGGCGUAGCGAG